AGAGCCUGCCACCACGUCCUGAACACAUACACAUCAAGCCACCUCGAGCUUCUCGGUCGAUUCGGCCGAUUUCGGCCUUUCCAGUGAAUUUUCGUCCCGCGAUCAAUCCCAAAUAUUUUUAUACGCCCGUUCUGAUGGCCUGAGUAUUUUUAAUAAAACCUACUGGGACUCUGAUCUUGAGGAAAAAUAUUUACCGAGCUUUUGGCUUCUUCGAAAAAUUUCGUAAUACCGAAAUUUAGGGUUGUUCGCCCAAUUUCCGGUCUUCCUGUUGUGCUUCCAAAAGUGUCUUGCUUCAACAUCAUUUGAAUCAAUCUACUACAUUGUCUAACCAUUUUCCAGUGGCAUACUUGACUCAUGGUUCAGACAAGAACAAUAUGAUCAUCCGCGACUCGAUCAUCCAAAAGAUACUCGACCAUUCUUUUUUUUUUUUUUUUUUUUAAGGGUUUCUACAGUGGGUGUCCGUCAGCAGACACAGAAUGUCCAUGGCUGUCUGUGGCUGUCCGUCAGCACACACAUGACAUCUGUGGCUGUCCGUGUGUGUCCGUGUGUGUCCGUCAGCAGACACAGGACGUCUGUGGCUGUCCAUCAGUACACAUAUCAGCACGCUGGUCCUUGGACUCAGCACGCUGGCCCUUCCCGUGGACUGUUCGGGUGAUUUUGGCCCACGUGGG
Molecule: long non-coding RNA, 671 nt
Filed under: Brassica rapa (field mustard)
Lineage: Eukaryota; Viridiplantae; Streptophyta; Magnoliopsida; Brassicales; Brassicaceae
Description: long non-coding RNA (BRAP_LNC008436)
Source: RNAcentral